UGGGGAAUUUUGGACAAUGGGCGAAAGCCUGAUCCAGCAAUGCCGCGUGUGUGAAGAAGGCCUUCGGGUUGUAAAGCACUUUUGUCCGGAAAGAAAUCCUUGGCUCUAAUACAGUCGGGGGAUGACGGUACCGGAAGAAUAAGCACCGGCUAACUACGUGCCAGCAGCCGCGGUAAUACGUAGGGUGCAAGCGUUAAUCGGAAUUACUGGGCGUAAAGCGUGCGCAGGCGGUUUGCUAAGACCGAUGUGAAAUCCCCGGGCUCAACCUGGGAACUGCAUUGGUGACUGGCAGGCUAGAGUAUGGCAGAGGGGGGUAGAAUUCCACGUGUAGCAGUGAAAUGCGUAGAGAUGUGGAGGAAUACCGAUGGCGAAGGCAGCCCCCUGGGCCAAAUACUGACGCUCAUGCACGAAAGCGUGGGGAGCAAACAGGAUUAGAUACCCUGGUAGUCCACGCCCUAAAACGAUGUCAACUAGUUGUUGGGGGAUUCAUUUCCUUAGUAACGUAGCUAACGCGUGAAGUUGA
This 523-nucleotide ribosomal RNA is filed under the name uncultured bacterium. RNAcentral's name for it is "partial 16S ribosomal RNA". It matches the Rfam family "Bacterial small subunit ribosomal RNA", at positions 355 to 868 of the family's 1533-position model. The record is from RNAcentral.